RNAcentral lists this ribosomal RNA (474 nucleotides) under uncultured bacterium. Its description in RNAcentral is "bacterial SSU rRNA". It matches the Rfam family "Bacterial small subunit ribosomal RNA", at positions 335 to 801 of the family's 1533-position model. The record is from RNAcentral.
ACUCCUACGGGAGGCAGCAGUGGGGAAUAUUGCACAAUGGGGGAAACCCUGAUGCAGCCAUGCCGCGUGUGUGAAGAAGGCCUUCGGGUUGUAAAGCACUUUCAGUAGGGAGGAAGGUAGUGUAGUUAACACCUGCACUAUUUGACGUUACCUACAGAAGAAGCACCGGCUAACUCCGUGCCAGCAGCCGCGGUAAUACGGAGGGUGCGAGCGUUAAUCGGAAUUACUGGGCGUAAAGCGCAUGCAGGCGGCCUGUUAAGUCAGAUGUGAAAGCCCGGGGCUUAACCUCGGGAAUUGCAUUUGAAACUGGCAGGCUAGAGUCUUGUAGAGGGGGGUAGAAUUUCAGGUGUAGCGGUGAAAUGCGUAGAGAUCUGAAGGAAUACCAGUGGCGAAGGCGGCCCCCUGGACAAAGACUGACGCUCAGAUGCGAAAGCUGGGGGAGCAAACAGGAUUAGAUACCCUGGUAGGAUAGCG